UACGGAGGGUCCAAGCGUUAUCCGGAUUUAUUGGGUUUAAAGGGUGCGCAGGCGGGAGAUUAAGUCGGCGGUGAAAUUUUGCAGCUCAACUGUAAAAGUGCCUUCGAAACUGGUUUCCUUGAGUGUGGAUGAAGUAGGCGGAAUUUGUGGUGUAGCGGUGAAAUGCAUAGAUAUCACGAGGAACUCCGAUUGCGCAGGCAGCUUACUAAACCAUAACUGACGCUCAGGCACGAAGGCGUGGGGAUCAAACAGGAUUAGAUACCCGUGUAGU
This 271-nucleotide ribosomal RNA is filed under the name uncultured prokaryote. Its description in RNAcentral is "partial 16S ribosomal RNA". It matches the Rfam family "Bacterial small subunit ribosomal RNA", at positions 524 to 794 of the family's 1533-position model. The record is from RNAcentral.